RNAcentral lists this ribosomal RNA (472 nucleotides) under uncultured bacterium. RNAcentral's name for it is "partial 16S ribosomal RNA". It matches the Rfam family "Bacterial small subunit ribosomal RNA", at positions 329 to 793 of the family's 1533-position model. The record is from RNAcentral.
UCCCAGACUCCUACGGGAGGCAGCAGUAGGGAAUUUUCGUCAAUGGGCGCAAGCCUGAACGAGCGAUGCCGCGUGAGUGAAGAAGGCCUUCGGGUCGUAAAGCUCUUUUGCGGGGGAAAAAAGGCAGCAUCAGGAAAUGGGUGCUGACUGAUGGUGCCCCGCCAGAAAGUCACGGCUAACUACGUGCCAGCAGCCGCGGUAAUACGUAGGUGGCGAGCGUUAUCCGGAAUGAUUGGGCGUAAAGGGCGCGUAGGUGGGCGCUUAAGUCAGGUGUGAAAACUCCGGGCUCAACCUGGAGACUGCACUUGAAACUGGGUGUCUUGAGGGCAGGAGAGGAAAGUGGAAUUCCUAGUGUAGCGGUGAAAUGCGUAGAUAUUAGGAGGAACACCAGUGGCGAAGGCGGUCUGCUGGACAGUAACUGACGGUGAGGCGCGAAAGCGUGGGGAGCAAACAGGAUUAGAUACCCUCGUAC